GAUCAUAUGAUAUCACAUGUGUAAAAACGCCGAGGUGACGUUGGUACUAGUCUUGCAAUUUUCCAUUGAUUUUUUUACAUGUUGUCCAUACCUUUCCACAGUCCAUCAAACCAAGGAGAGUGAUUUUACUUAUUUUUGCGUAGCAAGUAUGAGUUUUGGAGCAUGAAACAGUGUGACCGUCUGACUCUCAGGGAUGUACCUGCGAAAACGAACUUAACCCACCUAGACCGCCGCUAUUUAAACAGACGAAAUCUUUGAGCUAAACCGCGAAAAAUAAUUGUUGAGUUAUGGAGCUAGGGGCAUAGGAGCAUAGUGCCCUCCUCUUCCGUCCUGCGCGACGCUUUACCUAAUCGGCUUGGACCGGCUCUAUUUGGCGACACGCUUUCUGGACACAAACUGAUAUUCCGCGAUCCCUCCUCUAGCCCCACCCGCAGGUCGCACCCUCUGGUGGCUAGGAAUUCCUCUUGCGUGCCCGCGGUCAGCGAUAUGUAUACCAUCGUUUACCAGGGGCUUCACGCUUCUGGUCUUCCGGUUCAUAUGAUCGAGUGCAAUUUGACUGCAGAAAAUAUUCUUGAUUGGCCCAUGAUAAGGACCAAAUCAAGUAUUUUUGUCUUACGGUCACAGGAAGCUGUCGCACACCAAGGUCGGACCACAAAUAACAAAGAAAUAAAAAUAUGCAUGCAUUAUGAAAUUUGCCAAAAA
Molecule: small RNA, 702 nt
Filed under: Drosophila pseudoobscura pseudoobscura
Lineage: Eukaryota; Metazoa; Arthropoda; Insecta; Diptera; Drosophilidae
Description: GA31163
Source: RNAcentral